Molecule: non-coding RNA, 135 nt
Organism: Triticum aestivum (bread wheat)
Lineage: Eukaryota; Viridiplantae; Streptophyta; Magnoliopsida; Poales; Poaceae
Source: Rfam
UAUGUACUCCCUCCGUCCCAAAAUUAUUGUCUUAAAUUUGUCUAGAUACGGAUGUACCUAAUACUAAAAUGUGACCUCAUACAUCCGUAUUUGGACAAAUCUAAGACAAGAAUUUUGGGACGGAGGGAGUACAUC